UGCAGUCGAGCGGACCUCUUCGGAGGUUAGCGGCGGACGGGUGAGUAACACGUGGGCAACCUGCCUGUAAGACUGGGAUAACUCCGGGAAACCGGAGCUAAUACCGGAUAGUAUCUUGAACCGCAUGGUUCAAGCUGGAAAGACGGUUUCGGCUGUCACUUACAGAUGGGCCCGCGGCGCAUUAGCUAGUUGGUGAGGUAAUGGCUCACCAAGGCAACGAUGCGUAGCCGACCUGAGAGGGUGAUCGGCCACACUGGGACUGAGACACGGCCCAGACUCCUACGGGAGGCAGCAGUAGGGAAUCUUCCGCAAUGGACGAAAGUCUGACGGAGCAACGCCGCGUGAGUGAUGAAGGUUUUCGGAUCGUAAAACUCUGUUGUUAGGGAAGAACAAGUGCGAGAGUAACUGCUCGCACCUUGACGGUACCUAACCAGAAAGCCACGGCUAACUACGUGCCAGCAGCCGCGGUAAUACGUAGGUGGCAAGCGUUGUCCGGAAUUAUUGGGCGUAAAGCGCGCGCAGGCGGUUUCUUAAGUCUGAUGUGAAAGCCCCCGGCUCAACCGGGGAGGGUCAUUGGAAACUGGGAAACUUGAGUGCAGAAGAGGAGAGUGGAAUUCCACGUGUAGCGGUGAAAUGCGUAGAGAUGUGGAGGAACACCAGUGGCGAAGGCGACUCUCUGGUCUGUAACUGACGCUGAGGCGCGAAAGCGUGGGGGAG
RNAcentral lists this ribosomal RNA (717 nucleotides) under Metabacillus idriensis. Its description in RNAcentral is "bacterial SSU rRNA". It matches the Rfam family "Bacterial small subunit ribosomal RNA", at positions 56 to 769 of the family's 1533-position model. Lineage: Bacteria; Bacillati; Bacillota; Bacilli; Caryophanales; Bacillaceae. The record is from RNAcentral.